AGUGAACGCUGGCGGUAGGCCUAACACAUGCAAGUCGAACGGCAGCACAGUAAGAGCUUGCUCUUACGGGUGGCGAGUGGCGGACGGGUGAGGAAUACAUCGGAAUCUACUUUUUCGUGGGGGCUAACGUAGGGAAACUUACGCUAAUACCGCAUACGACCUACGGGUGAAAGCAGGGGAUCUUCGGACCUUGCGCGAUUGAAUGAGCCGAUGUCGGAUUAGCUAGUUGGCGGGGUAAAGGCCCACCAAGGCGACGAUCCGUAGCUGGUCUGAGAGGAUGAUCAGCCACACUGGAACUGAGACACGGUCCAGACUACUACGGGAGGCAGCAGUGGGGAAUAUUGGACAAUGGGCGCAAGCCUGAUCCAGCCAUACCGCGUGGGUGAAGAAGGCCUUCGGGUUGUAAAGCCCUUUUGUUGGGAAAGAAAAGCAGCAGGUUAAUACCCCGCUGUUCUGACGGUACCCAAAGAAUAAGCACCGGCUAACUUCGUG
RNAcentral lists this ribosomal RNA (492 nucleotides) under uncultured bacterium. RNAcentral's name for it is "partial 16S ribosomal RNA". It matches the Rfam family "Bacterial small subunit ribosomal RNA", at positions 29 to 507 of the family's 1533-position model. The record is from RNAcentral.